GAUGAACGCUGGCGGCGUGCCUAAUACAUGCAAGUCGAGCGAACAGAUAAGGAGCUUGCUCCUUUGACGUUAGCGGCGGACGGGUGAGUAACACGUGGGUAACCUACCUAUAAGACUGGAAUAACUCCGGGAAACCGGGGCUAAUGCAGGAUAACAGGUUGAACCGCAUGGUUCUACAGUGAAAGGCGGCUUUGCUGUCACUUAUAGAUGGACCCGCGCCGUAUUAGCUAGUUGGUGAGGUAACGGCUCACCAAGGCAACGAUACGUAGCCGACCUGAGAGGGUGAUCGGCCACACUGGAACUGAGACACGGUCCAGACUCCUACGGGAGGCAGCAGUAGGGAAUCUUCCGCAAUGGGCGAAAGCCUGACGGAGCAACGCCGCGUGAGUGAUGAAGGUCUUCGGAUCGUAAAACUCUGUUAUUAGGGAAGAACAAAUGCGUAAGUAACUGUGCGCGUCUUGACGUUACCUAAUCAGAAAGCCACGGCUAACUACGUG
RNAcentral lists this ribosomal RNA (497 nucleotides) under uncultured bacterium. Its description in RNAcentral is "partial 16S ribosomal RNA". It matches the Rfam family "Bacterial small subunit ribosomal RNA", at positions 28 to 507 of the family's 1533-position model. The record is from RNAcentral.